UAUGACUCUUCAUUCAGCGGACAGAUGUGGAGAAGAACAGAGCUCUUGGCAGGAGAAGAAGAACAGCUGGCUGCUGGAAGUUUGAGUCUCAGGGAUGUGAGAGCAGAUUUUUGCAGCGGGCGAUUGGAUAAAGCAUCCGGUCACUGGAGCUGACAGCAUAUGAAGAAAUGAUGUCACACUGAAUCUUGAAGGAUUUCUGCUAAUGGGCUCAUCUCACACAUGAUAAGUCAGCACACGGUCCCCUCGGCCCCGCCGCAUUCAGAUUCCCCGCUGCACACCGCUGGAAUCAUCCGCAGCACAGCGUGUCAACCACACACUGUUCUGGAAACAGUCGCGGGAAGCACAAGUUUCACUGAUGAAAGACAGCUUGGAAUGUCAGGCCCGCGGGAU
Long non-coding RNA from Triplophysa rosa, 390 nucleotides. RefSeq lists it as uncharacterized. The record is from RefSeq and is a predicted model, not a curated record. The transcript is spliced from 3 exons. NCBI's taxonomy places the organism in Eukaryota, Metazoa, Chordata, Actinopteri, Cypriniformes, Nemacheilidae.